RNAcentral lists this ribosomal RNA (381 nucleotides) under uncultured eukaryote. Its description in RNAcentral is "SSU rRNA". It matches the Rfam family "Eukaryotic small subunit ribosomal RNA", at positions 587 to 972 of the family's 1831-position model. The record is from RNAcentral.
AGCUCCAAUAGCGUAUAUUAAAGUUGUUGCAGUUAAAAAGCUCGUAGUUGGAUUUCUGGUGAGAUAUCUUUAGCCUGACCGGAAGGUCUUGUUUGAUGAUUAUUUUGCCCUUCUUGUCAAGAACCUGUUGAUCUUCAUUGGUCGAUAGUGGACUGGCAUCUUUUACUGUGAAAAAUUAGAGUGUUCAAAGCAGGCAUCGCCGUUGAAUACAUUAGCAUGGAAUAAUAAGAUAGGACUUUGGUGGUCUAUUUUGUUGGUUUGCACGCCAAAGUAAUGAUUAAUAGGGAUAGUUGGGGGUAUUCGUAUUCUAUUGCUAGAGGUGAAAUUCUUAAAUUUAUGGAAGACGAACUACUGCGAAAGCAUUUACCAAGGAUGUUUUCA